Molecule: microRNA precursor, 138 nt
Filed under: Mustela putorius furo (domestic ferret)
Lineage: Eukaryota; Metazoa; Chordata; Mammalia; Carnivora; Mustelidae
Description: miRNA (ENSMPUG00000022636.1)
Source: RNAcentral
CCAGUUAAAUUUGAAUUUCAGAUAAACAAUAAAAUGUUUUUUUGGUAUAAGUAUGUCUCAUACAAUAUUUGGCACAUACUUAUGUUAAAAACUUAUUCAUUAUUGAUCUGAAAUUCAAAUUUAACUAGGCUUCCAGUA